This 326-nucleotide long non-coding RNA is filed under the name Sorghum bicolor (sorghum). RNAcentral's name for it is "long non-coding RNA (SBIC_LNC004874)". The record is from RNAcentral. Lineage: Eukaryota; Viridiplantae; Streptophyta; Magnoliopsida; Poales; Poaceae.
CACAUUUUAAGUGAGUGUCAAGCUCCCCCUAAAUCAUUGCAUCCAGUGCAAGUGAGUGUGAACAAUAUAACCGUGAUGCACAUGACAUGUAUAAAUCACACAAGAAAAAAAAUAUGAAACAUACACCAACAGAGGUCAUGGCAACACACUUGCAAAAAUAGAAAUCUAAAAAAAAUAUAACCAGCACACAUAGCAAACAUCACAUAGAUUUCCCAAGUCCACAAGUCACUAAGAUAAAGAUCAUGUCUCAUUCCAUAGUCUCAACAAGAUACAAGAUAAAGUCUCAUGAUACAUCAAUAAAAGCUCAUCAUAGACACUACAGCUGC